This 223-nucleotide long non-coding RNA is filed under the name Mytilus galloprovincialis (Mediterranean mussel). Lineage: Eukaryota; Metazoa; Mollusca; Bivalvia; Mytilida; Mytilidae. The record is from RNAcentral.
AUCGGCAACACGGAAAACUAGGGCGAGGUGUUUGAGAAAACUGAGCACUGAAAACGAUUGCUUCUGCUUUCAGGAAAUAGAUUAUGUUGCGGUUCCUUCCGUGCAAUACAUUAUAUGGUACUGAAAGAUCUAAAAAUAAGAAAUUUUGAUGCUUGAACUUACCUUGUUACUUUUUUGUCGCUUCAAAAUUGCUACCCCAUGUCAAACAUAGCCGACACCCCGC